RNAcentral lists this ribosomal RNA (206 nucleotides) under uncultured bacterium. RNAcentral describes it as "partial 16S ribosomal RNA". It matches the Rfam family "Bacterial small subunit ribosomal RNA", at positions 568 to 773 of the family's 1533-position model. The record is from RNAcentral.
AGCGCAGGCGGGAAGGCAAGUUGGAAGUGAAAUCCAUGGGCUCAACCCAUGAACUGCUUUCAAAACUGUUUUUCUUGAGUAGUGCAGAGGUAGGCGGAAUUCCCGGUGUAGCGGUGGAAUGCGUAGAUAUCGGGAGGAACACCAGUGGCGAAGGCGGCCUACUGGGCACCAACUGACGCUGAGGCUCGAAAGUGUGGGUAGCAAAC